This 492-nucleotide ribosomal RNA is filed under the name uncultured bacterium. RNAcentral's name for it is "partial 16S ribosomal RNA". It matches the Rfam family "Bacterial small subunit ribosomal RNA", at positions 30 to 507 of the family's 1533-position model. The record is from RNAcentral.
AUUGAACGCUGGCGGUAUGCCUAACACAUGCAAGUCGAACGGCAGCACAGUAAUAGCUUUCUCUUACGGUGGGCGAGUGGCGGGCGAUUCAUGGGUACAUCCGAAGCUGCGGGUGCGUGGGGGAUGACAGAGGGAAACUUACGGUAAUACCGCAGAGGGCCUACGGGUGAAAGCGAGGGAUCUUCCGACCUUGCGCGGUUGAAUGAGCCGAUGUCGGAUUAGCUAGUUGGUGGGGUAAAGGCUCACCAAGGCGACGAUCCGUAGCUGGUCUGAGAGGACGAUCAGCCACACUGGAACUGAGACACGGCCCAGACUCCUACGGGAGGCAGCAGUGGGGAAUUUUGGACAAUGGGGGCAACCCUGAUCCAGCCAUGCCGCGUGCGUGAAGAAGGCCUUCGGGUUGUAAACCGCUUUUGUUCGGAAAGAAAUCCUCUGGGCUAAUACCCCGGGGUUAUGACGGUACCGGAAGAAUAAGCACCGGCUAACUACGUG